AUGGCGGAAACAGAAGGAGCAAAGGCACCGGCGGGAGGCGCAUCUGGUAGUGGAGCUGGGGCGGGCGCCCGUGGCCCGGAUCCAAGGUUUGAGGACAGAUUCCAGGGUCUGAAUCUUCAUGGAGAGGAAGAGGACGAUUUGGAUUUGUCAGGUGAGAUCGAUGAAUUGAUUGAAGAGACGAGAUGGAUUGCUAUUUUUAGGGUUCAUACACAGCGACCCUUUAGCCAUGUUGCUCUGUACAAAGCGAUGAGGAACGCUUGGACACCAGCACAGGGAGUGAUCUUCAAGGCGAUGAAACCAAAUCUGUUCCUGGGUCAGUUUAUGUGUCUUGGCGAUUGGAAUCGCGUGAUGAACGGAGGGCCCUGGUUAUUUCGGAACGCAGCAAGUCCUAUGGAGGAGUACGAUGGUCUGACAAAUGUGGAUGAGUACAAGCUUGAUCGCAUCCCAGCGUGGGCACGUAUCAUAGGCAUCCCUGAGGGGCUCAUGAAGAAAAAGGAGAUUGCAGAGAAAAUAGCAAGAAAAGUUGGAAUAUCUCCUGUGAAGGUCAUUGUCAAUGAAGGUCGAAUAAAUCCUACAAAGUUCUUGAGAGCUCGUGUUCACCUAAAGCUUGAUGCCCCACUUGUGCGUUUUGUGCCUUUAACCCUGAAGGAGAGCAAGAGGUGCCCUGUGGACUAUGAAAAACUUCCAGAUUUCUGUGAUUUCUGUGGUCUGAUGGGGCAUGUGGUAACUGAGUGCGGGGAUGGAAUACACUGA
Molecule: ribosomal RNA, 753 nt
Filed under: Triticum aestivum (bread wheat)
Lineage: Eukaryota; Viridiplantae; Streptophyta; Magnoliopsida; Poales; Poaceae
Description: partial small subunit ribosomal RNA
Source: RNAcentral